AGAGUUUGAUCAUGGCUCAGAUUGAACGCUGGCGGCAGGCCUAACACAUGCAAGUCGAGCGGUAGCACAGAGAGCUUGCUCUCGGGUGACGAGCGGCGGACGGGUGAGUAAUGUCUGGGAAACUGCCUGAUGGAGGGGGAUAACUACUGGAAACGGUAGCUAAUACCGCAUAAUGUCGCAAGACCAAAGUGGGGGACCUUCGGGCCUCAUGCCAUCAGAUGUGCCCAGAUGGGAUUAGCUAGUAGGUGGGGUAACGGCUCACCUAGGCGACGAUCCCUAGCUGGUCUGAGAGGAUGACCAGCCACACUGGAACUGAGACACGGUCCAGACUCCUACGGGAGGCAGCAGUGGGGAAUAUUGCACAAUGGGCGCAAGCCUGAUGCAGCCAUGCCGCGUGUGUGAAGAAGGCCUUCGGGUUGUAAAGCACUUUCAGCGGGGAGGAAGGCGGUGAGGUUAAUAACCUCACCGAUUGACGUUACCCGCAGAAGAAGCACCGGCUAACUCCGUGCCAGCAGCCGCGGUAAUACGGAGGGUGCAAGCGUUAAUCGGAAUUACUGGGCGUAAAGCGCACGCAGGCGGUCUGUCAAGUCGGAUGUGAAAUCCCCGGGCUCAACCUGGGAACUGCAUUCGAAACUGGCAGGCUAGAGUCUUGUAGAGGGGGGUAGAAUUCCAGGUGUAGCGGUGAAAUGCGUAGAGAUCUGGAGGAAUACCGGUGGCGAAGGCGGCCCCCUGGACAAAGACUGACGCUCAGGUGCGAAAGCGUGGGGAGCAAACAGGAUUAGAUACCCUGGUAGUCCACGCCGUAAACGAUGUCGAUUUGGAGGUUGUGCCCUUGAGGCGUGGCUUCCGGAGCUAACGCGUUAAAUCGACCGCCUGGGGAGUACGGCCGCAAGGUUAAAACUCAAAUGAAUUGACGGGGGCCCGCACAAGCGGUGGAGCAUGUGGUUUAAUUCGAUGCAACGCGAAGAACCUUACCUGGUCUUGACAUCCACAGAACUUUCCAGAGAUGGAUUGGUGCCUUCGGGAACUGUGAGACAGGUGCUGCAUGGCUGUCGUCAGCUCGUGUUGUGAAAUGUUGGGUUAAGUCCCGCAACGAGCGCAACCCUUAUCCUUUGUUGCCAGCGGUNNGGCCGGGAACUCAAAGGAGACUGCCAGUGAUAAACUGGAGGAAGGUGGGGAUGACGUCAAGUCAUCAUGGCCCUUACGACCAGGGCUACACACGUGCUACAAUGGCAUAUACAAAGAGAAGCGACCUCGCGAGAGCAAGCGGACCUCAUAAAGUAUGUCGUAGUCCGGAUUGGAGUCUGCAACUCGACUCCAUGAAGUCGGAAUCGCUAGUAAUCGUAGAUCAGAAUGCUACGGUGAAUACGUUCCCGGGCCUUGUACACACCGCCCGUCACACCAUGGGAGUGGGUUGCAAAAGAAGUAGGUAGCUUAACCUUCGGGAGGGCGCUUACCACUUUGUGAUUCAUGACUGGGGUGAAGUCGUAACAAGGUAACCGUAGGGGAACCUGCGGUUGGAUCACCU
This 1528-nucleotide ribosomal RNA is filed under the name Klebsiella pneumoniae. RNAcentral describes it as "bacterial SSU rRNA". It matches the Rfam family "Bacterial small subunit ribosomal RNA". The record is from RNAcentral. Lineage: Bacteria; Pseudomonadati; Pseudomonadota; Gammaproteobacteria; Enterobacterales; Enterobacteriaceae.